This 92-nucleotide small RNA is filed under the name Flavobacterium urumqiense. RNAcentral describes it as "Flavo-1 RNA". It matches the Rfam family "Flavo-1 RNA". Lineage: Bacteria; Pseudomonadati; Bacteroidota; Flavobacteriia; Flavobacteriales; Flavobacteriaceae. The record is from RNAcentral.
CCCUAGCCCUGAUGGAAACGGCAUCCUUUUUCUUGGGAUUCUGACGAAGGAAGAAUGGCAAGAAAAAGAUAUAGUGGACAGCAGGAAACAGC